UCUCUUUACAAGUUUGACCUUCAAUGUAGGUCAAACUUGUUUGCAUACUCUGAAGUUGGCUCUGAAUAAGACGAAACCAGUGGAUUUCUUGCACUCUUGAAGACUAUCAGAGAUAUUGCUUACCACUUCUCUGAGUCAGGUGUCACCCCAACCCUCCAUGCACCAUUAAGGAAACAUGUCAACCACAACCACAUGCUGCCUCCCCUACCACUAGAUCCACCUCAUUACCAGGUGGUGAUCCAUUGGUAGCUCUGGCCGACUCUUCAACAAAACGCCGCAGGCUUUAUUCAGGUCAUUGACCCGUUGGUCCAAGGUGGCCUGGUACACUAAUGAGCCACCUUGUGCCUGAACAUGAUGUCCGUUGUGGAAAAAAGUCAAACCUGCUGUAACAAGAUAGUUGUUUAAACUCCUAUAUGGUUCCAGUGUGACCAGACGUUUGAAGUUAUUCUCCCAACAUGCUCUUCUAGCUGUUCAGCCACGCAAAUAAAGAGGCUUUGUGUUCGCUGUUAGAAAAUAAAAGUUUCCUGCAGCUAAAAUGGAAACCUUUAAAGUGGGAAUAUACAUGUUGGCUGGAAGUCCUGCUUUCAUCUACACAUGAAAGCAAAGAAACGAGGAUCUGGCACUUCUGGGAGAAAGCAUCGACGAAGAUGUCAAGAACGUCCAUCCCUGUUAGAAACACUGACCACAAGAGGUCUGUGUCUGGAUGGCAAGCAGGAGAUAUUUUUGUUUUUUUCCCCUUCUUAUUAUGAGAUGGGAAUUAAAAAUUCAGUUUGAAGAAUAA
Long non-coding RNA from Xiphophorus couchianus (Monterrey platyfish), 781 nucleotides. RefSeq lists it as uncharacterized. NCBI's taxonomy places the organism in Eukaryota, Metazoa, Chordata, Actinopteri, Cyprinodontiformes, Poeciliidae. The record is from RefSeq and is a predicted model, not a curated record. The transcript is spliced from 4 exons.